GGUUGUUAAUAAUUUAUUUUUGUUAAUUUUUAUUUGUUUUAAUGAAAUUAUUUUUUUGUUGGUGUAUAUAUUUUUGAUUUAAUUUUCUUAUUAUAGUUUAUUUGUACUGUAGAGGUUUAUUUUUAUUAUUUAUUAAGUUGAUUUAUUUUAUUGUACCUUGUGUAUCAGGGUUUAUUGAAUUUUUUUAUUUAUUUUUUGAUUCCCGAUUUUAAAUGAGUUAAUUAAUUAUUUUAGUUGUUGUUUUAUCAACAUUGAAUAUAUUUUUUUGGUAAUGAAAUGUUAUUCGUUUUUUAUGGUAUCUGGUUUUUCGGGAAAUGAAUUUAAUUCAAAUAUUAUUUUUAAUUUUCUUUAUUAUUAGUUUUUUUUUAUUUAAUAUUUAUGUAUUGGGGGAUUAGCUCUUUUAUAUAUUUUUAUAAAAUUUUAUUUAUUUUAUUUUUGUGGGUUUUAUGUUAACUAACAGUUUAAUUAUGUUGAAAUUUUAAUUUUUGGUUAUUAUAUUUUUGUUAUUUUUAAGUUUUUUAUUGGAAUGUUUUAGUUAAUUUUUUAUUUAUUGUAAUUAUUGUUUAAUUAGUAUAUUAUUAUUUAUUUUGUUUAUUUUUUGUUAAGUUUUUUAGAGGAACUAGGCAAUUUAUUUCACUCGCCUGUUUAUCAAAAACAUCUCUUCUUGAAUAUAAUUUGAUGUAUGGCCUGCCCACUGAGUAUUGAAGGGCCGCGGUAUUUUGACCGUGCAAAGGUAGCAUAAUCAUUAGUCUUUUAAUUGUGGACUGGAAUGAAUGGUUUGACGAGGUGUUAACUGUCUUUAAUUUUUUUAUUGAAUUUAAAUUUUAGGUUAAAAUGCCUAAAUGUUUUUUUGGGACGAGAAGACCCUAUAGAGUUUUAUAUAUUUUUAAUUUUUUUUGUAUGAUAAGUUUUAAUUUAAAAAUUUAUUUUGUUGGGGUGAUGAGAAGAUUAGAUUAACUCUUUUUAUUUUUUUUUAUAUUUAUUUAUAUAUAUUUGAUCCAUUUUUAUUGAUUAUAAGACUAAAUUACCUUAGGGAUAACAGCGUAAUUCUUUUUGAGAGUUCAUAUUGACAAAAGAUUUUGCGACCUCGAUGUUGGAUUAAGAUAAAUUUUUGGUGAAGGUGCUAUAUAUAUUAGGUCUGUUCGACCUUUAAAAUCUUACAUGAUCUGAGUUCAAACCGGUGUGAGCCAGGUUGGUUUCUAUCUAUAAUGAUUUAUAACAUUUUAGUACGAAAGGACCAUAUGUUUUGAAUAAUUCUAUUUUAUGAUUACUAAUAAUUUUAUUUACUAAUUUAAUAGUAAUU
RNAcentral lists this ribosomal RNA (1303 nucleotides) under Cryptocercus convexus. Its description in RNAcentral is "16S ribosomal RNA". The stretch from base 1035 to 1194 matches the Rfam family "Archaeal large subunit ribosomal RNA", at positions 2542 to 2701 of the family's 2987-position model. The record is from RNAcentral. Lineage: Eukaryota; Metazoa; Arthropoda; Insecta; Blattodea; Cryptocercidae.